GACGAACGCUGGCGGCGUGCCUAAUACAUGCAAGUCGAGCGCUGAAGGUUGGUACUUGUACCUACUGGAUGAGCAGCGCACGGGUGAGUAACGCGUGGGGAAUCUGCCUCUUAGCCAGGGACAACCUUUGGAAACGAUUGCUAAUACCGAAUAAAAUCUUUAACCACAAAUAUUAAGAUUGAAAGACGCAAUAGCAUUACUCAAACAUCAUCAAGCGUUGUAUUAGCUAGCUGGUGAGGUAAAGGCUCACCAAGGCGAUGACACAUAGCCGACCUGUGAGGGUGAUCUGCCAAAUUGGGACGGGGACACGGCCCAAAACCCUGCGGGAGGCAGCAGGAGGGAAUCUUCAGGAAUGGACGAAAGUCUGACCGAGGAACGCCGGGUGAGUGAAGGAUGUUGUCGGAUCGUGAAACUCAGUUGGUAGAGAAGAACGUUAGUGAGAGUGGAAAGCGCAUCAAGUGACGGUAACUACGCAGAAAGGGACGGCUAACUACGUG
Molecule: ribosomal RNA, 497 nt
Filed under: uncultured bacterium
Lineage: Bacteria
Description: partial 16S ribosomal RNA
Rfam family: Bacterial small subunit ribosomal RNA
Source: RNAcentral